GAGCAGCACGUAUACUAAAGUUGGAAUGAUACAGAGAAGAUUAGCAUGGCCCUAGUGCAUGGAUGACAUGCAAAUUCAUGAAACAUUCCAUAUUUGA
This 97-nucleotide small nuclear RNA is filed under the name Carlito syrichta (Philippine tarsier). The record is from RNAcentral. Lineage: Eukaryota; Metazoa; Chordata; Mammalia; Primates; Tarsiidae.